AUUGAACGCUGGCGGCAGGCCUAACACAUGCAAGUCGAACGAUUGGCGGACGGGUGAGUAAUGUCUGGGAAACUGCCUGAUGGAGGGGGAUAACUACUGGAAACGGUAGCUAAUACCGCAUACCAUCGGAUGUGCCCAGAUGGGCUUGGCUAGUAGGUGGGGUAAAGGCUAACAUAGGCGACGAUCCCUAGCUGGUCUGAGAGGAGGACCGGCCAAACUGGAACUGAGACACGGUCCAGACUCCUACGGGAGGCAGCAGUGGGGAAUAUUGCACAUUGGGCGCAGUCCUGAUGCAACCAUGCGGGGUGUAUGAAGAAGUCCUUCGGGGUGUAAAGUACUUUCAGCGGGGAGGCGUUAACCACAGAAGAAGCACCGGCUAACUCCGUGCCAGCAGCCGCGGUAAUAC
Molecule: ribosomal RNA, 406 nt
Filed under: uncultured bacterium
Lineage: Bacteria
Description: partial 16S ribosomal RNA
Rfam family: Bacterial small subunit ribosomal RNA
Source: RNAcentral